This 642-nucleotide ribosomal RNA is filed under the name Bacillus amyloliquefaciens. RNAcentral describes it as "bacterial SSU rRNA". It matches the Rfam family "Bacterial small subunit ribosomal RNA", at positions 54 to 675 of the family's 1533-position model. The record is from RNAcentral. Lineage: Bacteria; Bacillati; Bacillota; Bacilli; Caryophanales; Bacillaceae.
AAUGCAAGUCGAGCGGACAUUAUGAUUAGCUGGUUGCCUGUAUUUUAAUUUUCGGACGCGGUGAGGUCACUUGGGUAACCGUAACCUACCACAGGGAUAGCUACAGGAAACGGGAGCUAAUACCAGAUGGUAAUUUGAACCUUUAGGUUUGUUUUAAAAUGUGGCUACGGCUACCACUUACAUAUGGACCCGCGCCGCAGUACCUAAUUGGUGAGGUAACGGCUCAGCAAGGCAACGAUGCGUAGCCUACCCGAAAGGGUGAGGGGCCACACUGGGACUGAAACACGGCCCAGACCCCUACCGGAGGGGGCGGUAGGGAAUCUUCCCCUCCGGACUAGACUCUGAUCGAACAGCGCCACGUGAGUGAAGAAGGUUUUGGGAUCGGAUCGCUCUAUUGUUAUGGAAGAACAAAUACCGUUCCAAUAGGGCUGGACCUUCCCUGUACGUAACCUGAAAGCAACGCCUAACUAAAUGCCUGCCCCCGCGCUAAUACAUACGUGGGAGGCAUUGUCUGGACUUAAUGGGCGGGAAGGGAUCGCGGGCGGUUUCUUACUUCUGAUGUGAAAGCAACCGGCCCACCCGGGGAGGGUCAGUGCAUACUGAGGAGCUUAAUUGCAUGAAAGGAGAGUGAAAUUCCACUUG